AGACUGUCUGGAGUCUGUCUGAAACUGAUAAAAUUGGAGAGGGAGUUAAGGCUCUAGCUAUGUAAAUUGAUAAGAACUCAUGAAUUCGAAAUGGGAAUUUACAGUCACUCAACAAUGCUAGCGAUUGAAUUAUGACGCAAUGCAAAUCAAUAUUUAGGCUCAUGCUUUGAAAGUUUUUUCAAUGUUUAUCACCAGACAGACAAUUCAUUAUGCACAGGUAUGAUCUUCGGUUCUGAAAAGAAGCCUAUCAGCUGAAGUUUAAGCGUAACGUGGCAUUUCAAUGGAACAAUUAUUUGAAAGGGGGCCCUUAUGACACCUUGAACCCCGUCGAUAACUCCCCCAUGUCUGUAGUGAUGACACUUUUCCAAGGAUGAUGGAUUUUCUGAGACGUCACAAGAAGUUACUGCCAUGGAUCGAGAACCUCAACUACAAAAGUGACCCAAGAGGAGCCUAUGCAUCUUCUGAAGUAGGGAGUGGGGUGUAGUAUGUGGCGAGCUAAAACUUCAUCAGAGUCCCAAUACAGGGAAUCGGCAGACGGCGGAGACGACCAGAUGACAUCAGGCUGCCUGCCUACCUGCUCUUGGACAUGCUGAACUGUCCAACACCUCCGCUGACCAUCUAGUUAUGAGCUUCCAGAUCCUCUCAUGAUGGAGGCUUCAAGAAGCACUCAGACUUGAUCUAGAUGAUCUAGCUACAGUUGUAGCCUAUAUUUAAUGACUUCUUGUUUAUUUUGCUUAACAUAUGCUUUGAGAUUCUGUAUGUAAU
This is a long non-coding RNA of Oncorhynchus gorbuscha (pink salmon), 765 nucleotides long. RefSeq lists it as uncharacterized. The record is from RefSeq and is a predicted model, not a curated record. NCBI's taxonomy places the organism in Eukaryota, Metazoa, Chordata, Actinopteri, Salmoniformes, Salmonidae. The transcript has 5 exons.